RNAcentral lists this ribosomal RNA (723 nucleotides) under Nocardia sp. Its description in RNAcentral is "bacterial SSU rRNA". It matches the Rfam family "Bacterial small subunit ribosomal RNA", at positions 87 to 824 of the family's 1533-position model. Lineage: Bacteria; Bacillati; Actinomycetota; Actinomycetes; Mycobacteriales; Nocardiaceae. The record is from RNAcentral.
GUACACGAGCGGCGAACGGGUGAGUAACACGUGGGUGAUCUGCCUCGCACUUCGGGAUAAGCCUGGGAAACUGGGUCUAAUACCGGAUAUGACCAUGGGAUGCAUGUCUUGUGGUGGAAAGAUUUAUCGGUGCGAGAUGGGCCCGCGGCCUAUCAGCUUGUUGGUGGGGUAAUGGCCUACCAAGGCGACGACGGGUAGCCGACCUGAGAGGGUGACCGGCCACACUGGGACUGAGACACGGCCCAGACUCCUACGGGAGGCAGCAGUGGGGAAUAUUGCACAAUGGGCGAAAGCCUGAUGCAGCGACGCCGCGUGAGGGAUGACGGCCUUCGGGUUGUAAACCUCUUUCGACAGGGACGAAGCGCAAGUGACGGUACCUGUAGAAGAAGCACCGGCCAACUACGUGCCAGCAGCCGCGGUAAUACGUAGGGUGCGAGCGUUGUCCGGAAUUACUGGGCGUAAAGAGCUUGUAGGCGGUCUGUCGCGUCUUCUGUGAAAACUCACAGCUCAACUGUGAGCUUGCAGGGGAUACGGGCAGACUAGAGUACUUCAGGGGAGACUGGAAUUCCUGGUGUAGCGGUGAAAUGCGCAGAUAUCAGGAGGAACACCGGUGGCGAAGGCGGGUCUCUGGGAAGUAACUGACGCUGAGAAGCGAAAGCGUGGGUAGCGAACAGGAUUAGAUACCCUGGUAGUCCACGCCGUAAACGGUGGGUACUAGGUGUG